This 292-nucleotide ribosomal RNA is filed under the name uncultured bacterium. RNAcentral describes it as "partial 16S ribosomal RNA". It matches the Rfam family "Bacterial small subunit ribosomal RNA", at positions 505 to 796 of the family's 1533-position model. The record is from RNAcentral.
GUGCCAGCAGCCGCGGUAAUACGAAGGGGGCUAGCGUUGCUCGGAAUUACUGGGCGUAAAGGGAGCGUAGGCGGGUUAUCAAGUUGGGGGUGAAAGCCCGGGGCUCAACCUCGGAAUUGCCUUCAAAACUGAUAACCUGGAGUAUGGAAGAGGUAAGUGGAACUCCGAGUGUAGAGGUGAAAUUCGUAGAUAUUCGGAAGAACACCAGUGGCGAAGGCGACUUACUGGUCCAUUACUGACGCUGAGGCUCGAAAGCGUGGGGAGCAAACAGGAUUAGAUACCCUGGUAGUCC